This is a long non-coding RNA of Mytilus trossulus (common blue mussel), 4339 nucleotides long. RefSeq lists it as uncharacterized. The transcript is spliced from 6 exons. NCBI's taxonomy places the organism in Eukaryota, Metazoa, Mollusca, Bivalvia, Mytilida, Mytilidae. The record is from RefSeq and is a predicted model, not a curated record.
UGCAUUAAACUGUUUCAGCAAAACGUUUGGUUAUUUCAUCACAGCAAAAGUCAUCCAUGUAUGCAUUAAACUGUUUCAGCAAGACGUUUGGUUAUUUCAUCACAGCAAAAGUCAUCUGCGUAUGCAUUAAACUGUUUCAGCGAAACAUUUGGUUAUUUCAUCACAGCAAAAGUCAUCCAUGUAUGCUUUAAACUGUUUCAGCAAAAUGUUUGGUUAUUUCAUCACAGCAAAAGUCAUCCAUGUAUGCGUUAAACUGUUUCAGCAAAACGUUUGGUUAUUUCAUCACAGCAAAAGUCAUCCAUGUAUGCGUUAAACUGUUUCAGCAAAACGUUUGGUUAUUUCAUCACAGCAAAAGUCAUCCAUGUAUGCUUAAACUGUUUCAGCAAAACGUUUGGUUAUUUCAUCACAGCAAAAGUCAUCCAUGUAUGCGUUAAACUGUUUCAGCAAAACGUUUGGUUAUUUCAUCACAGCAAAAGUCAUCUGUGUAUGCAUUAAACUGUUUCAGCAAAACGUUUGGUUAUUUCAUCACAGCAAAAGUCAUCCAUGUAUGCGUUGAACUGUUUCAGCAAGACGUUUGGUUAUUUCAUCACAGCAAAACUGGGACAUGUAUGCAUUAAUCUGGUUCAGCAAGACGUUUGGUUAUUUCAUCACAGCAAAACGGGGACAUGUAUGCAUUAAUCUGGUUCAGCAAGACGUUUGGUUAUUUCAUCACAGUAAAACUGGGACAUGUAUGCAUUAAUCUGGUUCAGCAAGAUGUUUGGUUAUUUCCUCACAGCAAAACUGGGACAUGUAUACAUUAAUCUGGUUCAGCAAGACAUUUGGUUAUUUCAUCACAGCAAAACUGGGACAUGUAUACAUUUAUCUGGUUCAGCAAGACGUUUGGUUAUUUCAUCACAGCAAAAUGGGGUCAUGUAUGCAUUAAUCUGGUUCAGUAAGACGUUUGGUUAUUUCAUCACAGCAAAAGUGGGACAUGUUUUCAUUAAUCUGGUUCAGCAAGACAUUUGGCUAUUUCAUCACAGCAAAAGUAGGACAUCUAUGCAUUUGCCAAUAUACUUAGGAGUAAGUCAUCUGUUUCAGCAAGACAUUUAGUUAUUUCAUCACAGCAAAAGUAGGACAUCUAUGCAUUUGCCAAUAUACUUAGGAGUAAGUCGUCUGUUUCAGCAAGACAUUUAGUUAUUUCAUCACAGCAAAAGUAGGACAUCUAUGCAUUUGCCAAUAUACUUAGGAGUGUGUCAUCUGUUUCAGCAACACAUUUAGUUAUUUCAUCACAGCAAAAGUAGGACAUUUAUGCAUUUGCCAAUAUACUUAGGAGUAAGUCAUCUGUUUCAGCAAGACAUUUAGUUCUUUCAUUACAGGAAAAGUAGGAUAUCCAUUUGCCACUUGGUAUAUUCAGCGAAAUGUUUGGUUAUUUCAUCACAAGAACACUGGGACGAACCUUUGCCACUGGAACAUUCAUUUCAGCAAAAUGUUUGGUUAUUUCAUCACAAGAAACUGGGACGAACCUUUGCCACUGGAACAUUCAAUUCAGCAAAAUGUUUGGUUAUUUCAUCACGAAAAAAAUGGGACAAGCCUUUUCAACUUGGUACAUUCAAUUCAGCAAAAUGUUUGGUUAUUUCAUCACGAAAAAAAUGGGACAAGCCUUUUCAACUUGGUACAUUCAAUUCAGCAAAUUGUUUCGUUAUUUCAUCACAAGAAAACUGGGACAAGCCUUUUCAACUUGGUACAUUCAAUUCAGCAAAAUGUUUGGUUAUUUCAUCACAAAAAACUGGGACAGGCCUAUGCACUUGAUCAUUUAAUUCAGCAAAAUGUUUGGUUAUUUCAUCACGAGAAAACUGGGACAAGCUUUUCACCUUGGUACAUUCAAUUCAGCAAAAUGUUUGGUUAUUUCAUCACAAAAAACUGGGACAGGCCUAUGCACUUGAUCAUUUUAUUCAGCAAAAUGUUUGGUUAUUUCAUCACAAGAAUCUGGGACAUGCAGUUGCCACAUUCUGGGACAUAACUGGCGAAAAGGAAGUUAGUAGAAAGGAGGAUAUAAAAUAGUUUCAUCACAAGAAAACUGGGACAUGACAUUGCCACAUAAAAUUCAGCAAAAUGUUUGGUUAUUUCAUCACAAGAAAAGCGGGACAUGCCAUUGCCACAUAAAAUUCAGCAAAAUGUUUGGAUAUUUCAUCACAAGAAAACUGGGACAUGUAUGCCAUUGCAACCAUGUUAAAUUCAGCAAAAUGUUUGGUUAUUUCAUCACAAGAAAACUGGGACAUUCCAUUGCCACAUUAAAUUCAUCAAAAUGUUUGGAUAUUUCAUCACAAGAAAACUGGAACUUGCCAUUGUCACAUUAAGUUCAUCAAAAUGUUUGGAUAUUUCAUCACAAAAAAAACUAGGACUUGCCACUGCCACAUCAAGUUCAGCAAAAUGUUUGGAUAUUUCAUCACAAGAAAACUGGGACAUUCCAUUGCCACAUUAAAUUCAUCAAAAUGUUUGGAUAUUUCAUCACAAGAAAACUGGAACUUGCCAUUGUCACAUUAAGUUCAUCAAAAUGUUUGGAUAUUUCAUCACAAAAAAAACUAGGACUUGCCACUGCCACAUCAAGUUCAGCAAAAUGUUUGGAUAUUUCAUCACAAGAAAACUGGGACUUGCCACUGCCACAUUAAGUUCAGCAAAAUGUUUGGAUAUUUCAUCACAAGAAAACUGGGACUUGCCAUUGCCACAUUAAGUUCAUCAAAAUGUUUGGAUAUUUCAUCACAAGAAAACUGGGACUUGCCAUUGCCACAUUAAGUUCAGCAAAAUGUUUGGAUAUUUCAUCACAAGAAAACUGGGACUUGCAGUUGCCACAUUAUUGGACAUUACAGAUUAAAAUGAGUGAUGAGAGGAAGCAAUUCGUGAAAGUCCUUGUAAUUGUCAUUGUCAAGGAUUGGAUCUUUUCCUAUAUACAGGAAGAAGUGAAAUAUUUUCAUCACAAGAACACAGGAUGUUAACUGGAUUUUUUUUCAGAGCACAGGAGCACUGGACAUUUAUUGAUUCUUUCCAUAGCAACACCACCAACAGCAGCAAAAAAGUUCAAGCAUUUCAAGAAUGGAAUGUUCUGUCCAAACAAACAUGUCUAUCACACCUUCAAGAGCUGAUAUUGGAAUCAUUAUUAGUAGAAUGGAAAACAGGGAUAAAAUCUAGCAAAAGGCCCAGUCGCACAUGGCCCCUAGAUUUUGAGCUGGGCUACUAAAUUACCUGGAAAAUAUACUGACUCAAAGACAGACUGAAAUACAGACAUUGACUGAAGAAAUGAAUGAGGACAAAGAAAAGAUGGGAGCAGAUUACAAACAAAAGCUUGCUAAUAUAGAAUCCAUACUGAAGAAAGAAAUGGCAAAUCAGAAUGAUUUAAUGAAUGAAUUAAAACAAAAUAAAGAAAUAAAGAGUCAAUGAGCUUCAGUCUGCUCUUCGUGAAAAAAGAACAAGCUAUGAAACUUCUCUAAAAACCAGUAAAAGUGCUUGGGACUAUGAACUCAUUAAUUUUAGGGAAGAGUAUAGUGUGAAAAUGUCAGAAAUUGAAAGAGAAAAAAACAGACAAAUAGAGGAUGUAAAGCAAAGAAGACUGAACAUGGAAGAAUCAUGUCAUAUUCUGGAAGAUAAAUGGAAACAUCCUUGGCUGAAAAAAAUAGUUUAAAGCAACAGUGAGACGUUUCAAUAUUUCAUCACAUGAACACUGGGACAUCUAUAGAAACAAGUGGGACAUGCAGUUUAUUGAUAUUCUAAAUAAAAAAAAAUUGCUUCCAAUUUCAUUUCAAGCUUUUGUAUUUGACCUUUAGAAUGAGAAGAUUUAUAUUCAAUUCUUUACACCGCCUCGGUGAUGUAAUGGUUAGUGUGGUCGCCUCGAGUGCGGUAGGUUGUGGGUUCCACCCUCGGCGGGGUCAAACCAAAGACUUGAAAAUUGGUAUUUGCUGCUUCUUCGCCAAGCACGCGGCAAUAAGGAGUUAGAGCAAAGACUGUUCGGCCCGGACUGUUCAGUCAGAAUAAUGUGUCUGGGUAAGUGACAUAUAUUCCUGCGAACUGUUACCUUGUGAGCUAGCAUGUUAAAAAUCCAGGUCAGUGUGUCGGUCGAGUACAAAGCAGGGUUAAUAUUCAUUAAUCAUUAUCAUGUUCUCAUCCUGAAUAUGCAUCUGACUUGCCACUGGACUUUAAACAACCAUCCAUCCAUCCAUCCAUCAAUUACUUAUUGUUUGAUUGCUGGUAACCCUUAAUUUAACUGCUACUGUAAUUUCCUUCCACUGUAGUGUAAUUGUAGUGUAGUUUGUAAUUGAAAACAGACAACCAUUUUGACUGACAUAUUGCUAUCCACAUAAGUUGCUUU